Molecule: long non-coding RNA, 687 nt
Filed under: Lepisosteus oculatus (spotted gar)
Lineage: Eukaryota; Metazoa; Chordata; Actinopteri; Semionotiformes; Lepisosteidae
Description: lncRNA (ENSLOCG00000021485.1)
Source: RNAcentral
AGCUGAACUGCGCACGGGUGCUUUUACAGUCUUUGCUUUCUUCCUUCAGCGCAGCCUAAUGCCAAGACAGUCUCAGUGCUUUCUGAUUAAUACCAGACUUAUCGCACAGGUGCAUUUCGUACAUGCUAGAACGUGGGUGAUUUUAUUUCUUGUAAAUAUCUUAUUUUCGACCUUUUUCGUAGGUAUUUAUCCUUCAUGCAGUCCAAAUGAACGUGUCUUUUUUUGAAGUGCGCCGUUUUUUCGUUUCUUGCGGCGACAGGCAAGGAGACGCAAGCGCUUCUCCAGUGACGGCAGGGGCGACGUGUCAGUCACAUUUAAGAGCGCGUUUUAUUCCUUGGACAGUAAACAGAUCCCAAGAUGCCCAGCUACAUGAAAUCCUUCGAGCGCCUGUACCCUUUGAGAAUAAAACCCCAGUCCAUCUUCCGAACAGGAGCUUUUAUUCCACACAACAGAAAAGCAGCAGGUUAACGUCCCGGCUCUCUCCGGCCCUGAGGUGGACCAGAACAAGGAGAGCUUUAGGGAGAGGAUUAGGGAGAGCGAGUGCGGACAGCACGGACCUGGAGAAACCCCAAGCAAAAAAAAGGGACGAUUUCGACUCUCAUGUUUCGCGAAGCAGCUGUUUCGUUUAUUACAUAUUUCUUUCUAAUAGUUGGCCUUAUUUGAGAAAUAAAACGUGAAAGUGCACAU